RNAcentral lists this ribosomal RNA (670 nucleotides) under Klebsiella pneumoniae subsp. pneumoniae. RNAcentral describes it as "partial 23S ribosomal RNA". It matches the Rfam family "Bacterial large subunit ribosomal RNA", at positions 1183 to 1838 of the family's 2925-position model. The record is from RNAcentral. Lineage: Bacteria; Pseudomonadati; Pseudomonadota; Gammaproteobacteria; Enterobacterales; Enterobacteriaceae.
UAAACCAUGCACCGAAGCUGCGGCAGCGACACUAUGUGUUGUUGGGUAGGGGAGCGUUCUGUAAGCCUGCGAAGGUGACCUGUGAGGGUUGCUGGAGGUAUCAGAAGUGCGAAUGCUGACAUAAGUAACGAUAAAGCGGGUGAAAAGCCCGCUCGCCGGAAGACCAAGGGUUCCUGUCCAACGUUAAUCGGGGCAGGGUGAGUCGACCCCUAAGGCGAGGCCGAAAGGCGUAGUCGAUGGGAAACAGGUUAAUAUUCCUGUACUUGGUGUUACUGCGAAGGGGGGACGGAGAAGGCUAUGUUAGCCGGGCGACGGUUGUCCCGGUUUAAGCAUGUAGGCUGGUUGUCCAGGCAAAUCCGGAUAAUCAAGGCUGAGGUGUGAUGACGAGGCACUACGGUGCUGAAGUAACAAAUGCCCUGCUUCCAGGAAAAGCCUCUAAGCAUCAGGUAACAUCAAAUCGUACCCCAAACCGACACAGGUGGUCAGGUAGAGAAUACCAAGGCGCUUGAGAGAACUCGGGUGAAGGAACUAGGCAAAAUGGUGCCGUAACUUCGGGAGAAGGCACGCUGGUGUGUAGGUGAAGCCCCUGCGGGUGGAGCUGAGACCAGUCGAAGAUACCAGCUGGCUGCAACUGUUUAUUAAAAACACAGCACUGUGCAAACACGAAAGU